RNAcentral lists this unclassified non-coding RNA (240 nucleotides) under soil metagenome. Its description in RNAcentral is "partial contains 5.8S ribosomal RNA, internal transcribed spacer 2, and large subunit ribosomal RNA". The record is from RNAcentral.
AACCAUUCUCACCUGCGGCUAGACCUGCGGAAGGAUCAUUACUGAGUCACGUGCUCAAACAACCCUUCUGUGGACCUGAAAUAAAACCGUUGCCUCGGCGGGCGGUCCCCCCCAAACCAACCCCACGUGGUGGGUUAGGGGAGACCAGACGGUCCGGUACGCUUAAGGCGUCCGGCGCCAGCCGCUGGCCCCAAACAAUUAAACUCUAGUAAUCUUUACCUUCUGAAUUUCAAUAUUUAA